This 163-nucleotide ribosomal RNA is filed under the name uncultured Pseudomonas sp. Its description in RNAcentral is "partial 16S ribosomal RNA". It matches the Rfam family "Bacterial small subunit ribosomal RNA", at positions 369 to 525 of the family's 1533-position model. Lineage: Bacteria; Pseudomonadati; Pseudomonadota; Gammaproteobacteria; Pseudomonadales; Pseudomonadaceae. The record is from RNAcentral.
GCAUGGGCGAAGCCUGAUCCAGCCAUGCCGCGUGUGUGAAGAAGGUCUUCGGAUUGUAAAGCACUUUAAGUUGGGAGGAAGGGCAUUUACCUAAUACGUUAGUGUUUUGACGUUACCGACAGAAUAAGCACCGGCUUACUCUGUGCCAGCAGCCGCGGUAAUA